RNAcentral lists this long non-coding RNA (1903 nucleotides) under Homo sapiens (human). Its description in RNAcentral is "HSALNT0394515". Lineage: Eukaryota; Metazoa; Chordata; Mammalia; Primates; Hominidae. The record is from RNAcentral.
AGAAUGAGCAAAAGUUGCAGCACAGCGUGUCACCAGAGAGGAAAAGAAUAUCCUUGCUGUGCCAAGAAAGAAAAGACCAUGGAUCUACUAGUUGCAGAUUUCAGCAGUAAUGCCAAGGGGGCAAGAAGUGACCAGCAGAACAAUUAGGCCAUGGCAACAGAAGCCAACUACAACCCAUGUUCCAAUCUAUGACCUCCCUCUCCUGCUGGUACAAGGAUAUGUAUUCCUUAGAGCAAAGGAUGCAAUGUCAAGCAAGUUGUGAUACCUCAACUAUCUACAAUUUAACACCAAGGAAAGAACACUGUUUGGAGAAAUGAGAAAGAUUAUCAUCAGUGUCUUUCAGAAGUCAUCAAAAGAAGAAAAGGAGAAAAGAGAGGAGAAAGCAGAAAGAUCUGGAGUCUGGGAAGUUCAAGAGCAUGGCACCAACAUCUGGCAAGGGCUUUCAUUCUGCAUCAUCUCAUGGAGGAAAAUAAAAAGGAGGCUGGAUGCUCCUGUGAAGUACGUCUUUUAUCUACUUGCUAUCUUUGCAAUUCCUUCAUGCUACAAUGAGAGAUAGAGUUUAAACCUGAAAACAUUCUUGGAAAAGGAAUCUUCAUUAAUUCAAAUAUACCACAAGGUUCUGCCACUGUGGCCAUCACCUGGGAUUGGAGAAAGGCAAAUGGAACAGACCAACUCAGAAUUACAGUCCUCAUUUAUUUCAUCAGAGGUUGGCCUGUACUUACAUUAGCCCUUUCUGGCUAGAGCUUCAUGUCUCACCCACUGUCUGUUCACUUCUGACCUGAAACAAUGGGACUGCAGAAGAGAGAAGGAAAAUAUCUGGUGGUCAGGCUAACUCUGUGUACCCCAUGAUGAAGAUGUUUUCCAUAGGAGUUCAUUGUCACAGAUUCACCACCAUCACUACUCUAAGUAUUUUUCUUCUUGAGAAAGAGAAGGAGAGGGAAAGCAAGGAAGAGGAAGAGAAAGAGAAAUGGAUAAAAACAUGGUCAAGUAGAAGAGUCUGUGAUUUCAGGUAAAUCCAGAUUUGGAGCUUAAAUGACUCAAAUGCUUUGCCUACAUUGAUCCUACAUUCAGGCUGCUUACAUAUCUCUUGGCUUCUCUGAGAACCAGAUUGUCACCACUUAAAGUGUCUUCCAGAGUCCUCACGAGUAUCAGAGAAGGCAUAAUCUGUACACGUGGCUUCAUUUAAAAUGAAAAUAUCAAGCAGUGUCAUUUUCACAAGUAUCCCCACACUGUCUGAGGCUGAAAAGAAGAGUGUAGCUAUGCACACUGCAGUGAGAAGAAAAUUUCAGCUCAAUUGGAGGAUGUAAAGAUUGAAAUACCACUGCUCCUAGUUCUGAUGCAAAAUUGAAAAGAGUGCACUGGGUCUUCAAAUGGCAUAUUGACAAGGAGAAAGAGGAAAGGAUGCCCCAGGACAGCCUGGGGGUCAAGGCUGGGCUCAGGCAUGCCUGGACAAGCCAUGCAAGUUGUCUCCGGACUUGAACCACGUAUCAGAGGAGCUAUUUGAGGAGCCACAUCAGCAUACCUGCUUCUGUGGGCCCCCAGGCUGUGGUGCUCAGCCCUUGCACUAUGAAACAUUUUUUUUUUCCAGAAGCCAAAGCUUUGAGCAUCUCCUCCCAUGUAGAGAGUGUAUAUGUUUACGUCCAUGUCUUUCGCCAUGUGAACGCAUGCAACCACCACCUCAAAUAUCAUAAAUCCUCUCUCUCCCCCUUUCUGUCUGCCUGUUUAUCUACAAUCUGUCUAUUUAAAUUCUUUUUAAACAAGAAGGGAAUAUCUUUAUGCCUGUUUGUAGGGAUAUUCUACAUCCAUCUGUUAUUUACAUCAUUCGUUUUCCUGAGGUGUCUCCAACAAAUCCUGGCUGGAUGCACUGUAUGUGUUAUUAAUAAAACAGCUGUAAAAAUAUUAA